UUGAACGCUGGCGGCAUGCUUUACACAUGCAAGUCGAACGGUAACAGGCCUUCGGGUGCUGACGAGUGGCGAACGGGUGAGUAAUACAUCGGAACGUGCCCAAUCGUGGGGGAUAACGCAGCGAAAGCUGUGCUAAUACCGCAUACGAUCUACGGAUGAAAGCAGGGGAUCGCAAGACCUUGCGCGAAUGGAGCGGCCGAUGGCAGAUUAGGUAGUUGGUGAGGUAAAGGCUCACCAAGCCUUCGAUCUGUAGCUGGUCUGAGAGGACGACCAGCCACACUGGGACUGAGACACGGCCCAGACUCCUACGGGAGGCAGCAGUGGGGAAUUUUGGACAAUGGGCGAAAGCCUGAUCCAGCCAUGCCGCGUGCAGGAUGAAGGCCUUCGGGUUGUAAACUGCUUUUGUACGGAACGAAAAGUCUCUUUCUAAUAAAGAGGGAUCAUGACGGUACCGUAAGAAUAAGCACCGGCUAACUACGU
Molecule: ribosomal RNA, 480 nt
Filed under: uncultured bacterium
Lineage: Bacteria
Description: bacterial SSU rRNA
Rfam family: Bacterial small subunit ribosomal RNA
Source: RNAcentral